GUGUCUCCUUCCUUGAGACUGUUAGGCAUGUCUUACAUAUUGUAACAUAGUUCCUUUUCAAUAGUCUAGGUCCAGCAUCAGUUUAUUGGAGGGUCCCAGCUGAUACAAGAGCACCAUCAGACCUAUCCCUCCAUGAAGCACUGCUGGGGGAAAUCUCGGCAAUAGGACCACCUCAACAAUAUAACCGAUGAGGGGACUGAGGCCCAGAGAAGUGAAGUGACUUACCCA
Tachyglossus aculeatus (Australian echidna) is the source of this 228-nucleotide long non-coding RNA. RefSeq lists it as uncharacterized. Lineage: Eukaryota; Metazoa; Chordata; Mammalia; Monotremata; Tachyglossidae. The transcript has 3 exons. The record is from RefSeq and is a predicted model, not a curated record.